AUAUAUAUAUCAACCUUCACUUGUUGAAUGGUUUGGAUGUGGGGGUUUGCUGGACUUGUGAAAGGUUCAGCUCCUCUGAAAUGCAUUAGCAGAACAAUCUGUUCAUUGGUGUGAUAACUAUCUACGCUCUUGAAUAAGAUGCAGUUCAGCUUUCUAACUGUCCUUGGACAAUUUAUCAUUU
This 181-nucleotide unclassified non-coding RNA is filed under the name Cortinarius cyprinus. RNAcentral describes it as "partial internal transcribed spacer 2". The record is from RNAcentral. Lineage: Eukaryota; Fungi; Basidiomycota; Agaricomycetes; Agaricales; Cortinariaceae.